GGCUUAGAGUUUGAUCAUGGCUCAGGAUGAACGCUGGCGGCGUGCUUAACACAUGCAAGUCGAGCGAAGCACUCCAUCAGAUUUCUCCGGAAAGAAGAUGGUUUGACUGAGCGGCGGACGGGUGAGUAACGCGUGGGUGACCUGCCCCAUACCGGGGGAUAACAGCUGGAAACGGCUGCUAAUACCGCAUAAGCGCACGGAGCUGCAUGGCUCAGCGUGAAAAACUCCGGUGGUAUGGGAUGGGCCCGCGUCUGAUUAGGCAGUUGGCGGGGUAAAGGCCCACCAAACCGACGAUCAGUAGCCGACCUGAGAGGGCGACCGGCCACAUUGGGACUGAGACACGGCCCAAACUCCUACGGGAGGCAGCAGUGGGGAAUAUUGCACAAUGGGGGAAACCCUGAUGCAGCGACGCCGCGUGAGCGAAGAAGUAUUUCGGUAUGUAAAGCUCUAUCAGCAGGGAAGAUAAUGACGGUACCUGACUAAGAAGCCCCGGCUAACUACGUGCCAGCAGCCGCGGUAAUACGUAGGGGGCAAGCGUUAUCCGGAUUUACUGGGUGUAAAGGGAGCGUAGACGGCGAAGCAAGUCUGGUGUGAAACCCCGGGGCUCAACCUCGGGCCUGCAUUGGAAACUGUUUUGCUUGAGUGCCGGAGAGGUAAGCGGAAUUCCUAGUGUAGCGGUGAAAUGCGUAGACAUUAGAGGAACACCAGUGGCGAAGGCGGCUUACUGGACGGCAACUGACGUUGAGGCUCGAAAGCGUGGGGAGCAAACAGGAUUAGAUACCUGGUAGUCCACGCCGUAACGAUGAAUGCUAGUGUGGGGAGCAAAGCUCUUCGUGCGCGCAACGCAUUAGCAUUCCNCUGGGGAGUA
RNAcentral lists this ribosomal RNA (868 nucleotides) under uncultured bacterium. RNAcentral describes it as "bacterial SSU rRNA". It matches the Rfam family "Bacterial small subunit ribosomal RNA", at positions 1 to 882 of the family's 1533-position model. The record is from RNAcentral.